GUGCCAGCCGCCGCGGUAAUACAGAGGGGGCAAGCGUUGUUCGGAAUUACUGGGCGUAAAGGGCGCGUAGGCGGCCGCCUAAGUCAGACGUGAAAUCCCUCGGCUCAACCGGGGAACUGCGUCUGAUACUGGGUGGCUUGAAUCCGGGAGAGGGAUGCGGAAUUCCAGGUGUAGCGGUGAAAUGCGUAGAUAUCUGGAGGAACACCGGUGGCGAAGGCGGCAUCCUGGACCGGCAUUGACGCUGAGGCGCGAAAGCCAGGGGAGCAAACGGGAUUAGAUACCCCCGUAGUCC
RNAcentral lists this ribosomal RNA (292 nucleotides) under uncultured bacterium. Its description in RNAcentral is "partial 16S ribosomal RNA". It matches the Rfam family "Bacterial small subunit ribosomal RNA", at positions 505 to 796 of the family's 1533-position model. The record is from RNAcentral.